Long non-coding RNA from Mustela erminea (ermine), 92 nucleotides. RefSeq lists it as uncharacterized. Lineage: Eukaryota; Metazoa; Chordata; Mammalia; Carnivora; Mustelidae. The record is from RefSeq and is a predicted model, not a curated record. The transcript is spliced from 3 exons.
CACCUGGGGAACAUCAGUCCUAGUCACCUUCUCAGUGAUUAGGAAGGCCUUAAUGCCUUUUUCUUUUUCCUUUUUUGUUUUAUUUCCUUGUG